UUUACUUUGGCUUUCUGUUUAAGGGUACAGUCUAUGGGGUAGCAGCAGGUGUGUAAGGUCACUGGUCCCAUUGUGCCCACAGUAAGGAAACAGGAGAGAAAUGCUCCUGUCCAGCUGGCUUUCUUCUUUCCAUUCAGGAUGGAGUCCCAGCUGGGAGACAGUGACAGCACACUCAGAGUGGAUCUUCCUUACUUAAUAAACAUCCUCACAGACCUCCAGUCAGGUUAGUGACAAGGACGAGCCAUCUCAUCGCUACUAGGGAUGAUGAUCUUGUACUGAAGUUUAGUGCUAAAAUGAGGUUCCACCUUCAGGGAAUCUCAGUUCUCGUAGAGAAGCAAAUGCAUGAAGACAUAGAUGGUUCCUGCAAGCUUUGACGAUGGGUAGCCAGGGAGACACUGAAUGGACAUUCAAAUGUACUUCCAGAGAUGCCUCCAGCUGGACAUUCACUGAGUGUGUGAACUUCUUUUAUAAAAUACAAAUACAGCUAAGAGACCCUGUGGGUUGCUGUCUGUAUGCAGACGAGGUCAGGUGAAAUCUUAGUCAAAUGAGAGAGAGAGAGAGGGAGAGAGAGAGAGAGAGAGAGAGAGAGAGAGAGAGAGAUCUACAUGGCCUGAAAUAGUCACAGGUAGCUAUGGAUAUCAUAGAAGGGCAAUAGAGUAAUGUAGGUCACUCUUUCCAACCUUGUGUGCAGCUUGUAUCAAUAUCAAUUGAGUUUUGAGUACUUUGUGUGGGCAUUUUGGGGUUGAGGAUUUGCCAUUAUAAAUCUGGCUGGUAAAUUAUAAACCUCGGGUGUUUUCAUUAUACAGGGCUAGGAGUUUAGAGCCAGCAGCAGCCAGUCUCGGCAGGCUAGCUGCAGGGGUAGGAUGGCCUGGGAGGGUAUGAGCAGUUCGGGAGCCUGGGAAGACUGUGCCUUAUGGCUCCUCAUGGGGUGGUGAGACCAUGGUGCCAGUGCCAGCCAUAGCCGGACUUAGCGUGCAUUGUUUUUUUAUAAUUACAUGCUACCAGACUCUGCCUGAACUGAGGGUGUAGUUAAGUAUGACUUGGUUCCAUCAGCUUACUUUCUGCUGCCACUUUGCUCAAGUCAUACUAACGAAGUGAUAUUUCUAUUUAAGGGGAAGUGUCUUGCGUUGGGAGUGUAAUUGAUCAUGGGCAGCAUAGAAUGCAAGUGGUUUAGGAGUUAAAAAAGCAUCAGGAAGCUUCCCAGAAAGCACAGAGAAAAGUGUCAGGAUUCAAGAACAGGCAAACCUUGGAAAUAGUAGACCUGGAAUAGACGUCAUAGUAUGCAUCAUGAGCCAAUGCUAAAAAUAACUUCAAUCGUGUUAUAUUAAUGAUGGAAUUUUAUAUUUGGUAAUUAAUAAUUAGAAUCUUAUAAAGCUGCAUCCUGUUUGUAUGUAACCAAUGUGUUAAAUUUUACUUGUUAUAGUUUUCCUUCCUUCCUUCCUUCCUUCCUUCCUUCCUUCCUUCCUUCCUGUUUCCUGGGGACUCGCAGAGAGAAGGAAGCAAGGUUUGUCCUGCGGGUAUCCUUUCUCACAUCUGCUAGCCCGAGUUUGAGAGGGUGUGUGUGGGACAGUGCCAGAGACGCCCGCUGCAACCUUCUUAGUCCCUCGGAGUGUCAGGGUCUGGUAAAAGAGACAGAUUGCCACCACCAAACCCACCAGGAAAGGUCGGGGGCAAAAUCGCCGGCGACAAAGGAACCCGGGUCGACAGACCAUGACCAGUCCAGGUUCACUUGGCCCCUGGCCACGUUGUCAGUGUGAAAAAAGCACACAUCUGUCUUCUUUUUACAGAAUUCCAAUUAAGUUCGCUCCAUCUCCACUUGAGAACUUUCUGAAGGUUCAUGCCAAAGAUUCAUAGGACCCAGCGGUCAGAGGUGGUUAAUAGCCCUUAAAUGAAGGACAGUAAGAAGUGACUGGCCAGAUUUUUUUUUUUAAAGAUGUCAAAAUAAAAAUAGUUGUAAGAAAUCAUCCGAAUGCAUCCCCAGCUGCCAAGAGUUCCUUCCGGUAAUGUCUUACUUCCACAACAUUCUUAAAGUCAGGAGUUCAGCUUGUCUCGUCUUUUGGGGCAAAAAGAAAGCACAGUAAAGCGGGUCUGGAGGCAGAAACCAGCAGAAGACGCAGUCGAUGUAACACGAAGUGCCUGUUGCACAGCUGGGCGCCGGCCAGGUUGUCCUAGCAGUUUCUCAUUUUCCCUCUGGUUUUAAAGCCAUCCCGCUCCCAGCCUUUUAAGUUGCAGAACUGCCUCCUUUCGUUCAGUUUUAAAUUGCCACUUUGCUGCUAGCAUUCACGGCUUUUAACAUAAAAAAAAGUGGGGAGGGGGUCUAGCAGUUUGGCUGUAUGUGGUUACUGUCAGGGCUUUGCUUGCGUUUGGUCUCAUUCCGUUUCAAGUUCAAAGUUCUGUGUACUUACUCAGUUUUCAUCCUUUUAGCCAGAUUUUUUUUUCAUGAUCCCCUAACGGAUUGCUGAUCAAAAUCACUUGGAAGGAAACACCCAGGCGUAGGACUCCGCUUCAUCUCACUCUCACGCACGGACACACACGCGCAGACACGCGGAGACACGCGCGUGCCAGCUGCACACAGGGCCGAGAGCCGGAGGACCCGGGCCAUCGCUGCCACCCAGGCCGAGC
Molecule: long non-coding RNA, 2622 nt
Filed under: Mus pahari (shrew mouse)
Lineage: Eukaryota; Metazoa; Chordata; Mammalia; Rodentia; Muridae
Description: lncRNA (MGP_PahariEiJ_G0004977.1)
Source: RNAcentral